UUUAUUGGAGAGUUUGAUCCUGGCUCAGGACGAACGCUGGCGGCGUGCCUAAUACAUGCAAGUCGAGCGGACCUGAAUGGAGCUUGCUCCAGACAGGUUAGCGGCGGACGGGUGAGUAACACGUAGGCAACCUGCCCGCAAGACCGGGAUAACGUAGGGAAACUUACGCUAAUACCGGAUAGGGCACUCUCUCGCAUGAGAGGGUGCGGAAAGGUGGCGCAAGCUACCACUUGCGGAUGGGCCUGCGGCGCAUUAGCUAGUUGGUGGGGUAACGGCCUACCAAGGCGACGAUGCGUAGCCGACCUGAGAGGGUGACCGGCCACACUGGGA
This 330-nucleotide ribosomal RNA is filed under the name Brevibacillus sp. RNAcentral describes it as "bacterial SSU rRNA". It matches the Rfam family "Bacterial small subunit ribosomal RNA", at positions 1 to 318 of the family's 1533-position model. Lineage: Bacteria; Bacillati; Bacillota; Bacilli; Caryophanales; Paenibacillaceae. The record is from RNAcentral.